This 390-nucleotide ribosomal RNA is filed under the name uncultured bacterium. RNAcentral describes it as "bacterial SSU rRNA". It matches the Rfam family "Bacterial small subunit ribosomal RNA", at positions 148 to 518 of the family's 1533-position model. The record is from RNAcentral.
AUCCGGGACACGGGUGGCUAAUACCGCAUAGUUUUCUUGAUCGCAUGAUCGGGAAAGGAAAGACGGCCUUUGUGCUGUCGCUUAUGGAUGGACCCGCGGCGUAUUAGUUAGUUGGUGAGGUAACGGCUCACCAAGACGAUGAUACGUAGCCGACCUGAGAGGGUGAUCGGCCACAUUGGGACUGAGACACGGCCCAAACUCCUACGGGAGGCAGCAGUAGGGAAUCUUCCGCAAUGGACGAAAGUCUGACGGAGCAACGCCGCGUGAGUGAAGAAAAGGUUUUCGGAUCGUAAAACUCUGUUGUCAGAGAAGAACAAGUUGGAGAGUAACUGCUCCAGCCUUGACGGUAUCUGACCAGAAAGCCACGGCUAACUACGUGCCAGCCGCAGC